Molecule: long non-coding RNA, 250 nt
Filed under: Lathyrus oleraceus (garden pea)
Lineage: Eukaryota; Viridiplantae; Streptophyta; Magnoliopsida; Fabales; Fabaceae
Description: Pisum sativum (pea) long non-coding RNA (PSAT_LNC002080)
Source: RNAcentral
GAUGUUAAGAAGACAUUACAUGAUCUGGUCCUAAAGGCUAUUAUAUUUGUUUUUCUUCAAAGAUAGUUGGAAUUCUCAGAUUUGAUCAUUUGUCCAUUCUUAUGACUCCAAAUAAGCCUUCCAGUCCUCAUCCCACUCCUUCUUCUUGAGAUCUUUCCGAUCUGUUUCUAUGUUUUUGCCCCUUUCAGAUACUCUAACAGAUAUGCCUUUUUCACCUGUAGUUAUAGAUCUAUGAGGCUUUGUAAUUUCU